This is a long non-coding RNA of Gallus gallus (chicken), 639 nucleotides long. NCBI's taxonomy places the organism in Eukaryota, Metazoa, Chordata, Aves, Galliformes, Phasianidae. The record is from Ensembl.
GUCUUACAGACGAGUACUUAUUUGUCUUCGGCAGUUGUCCCUGUUUUGUGUUCCACUGCAAAUAAGGAGCUUAGUCUGAGGAUAAUUCAAUCCAGCACUGCAUCUCAGAGCUCUAGCGACAGGCGUGAAAUUGUUUUAUCUUUUUUGUUCUCGGUGCGCGGCGCUCAUUGGGUGAGCAUGCGGACCAUCUGCUGCCGAGGUAACUCUGGGGAUCCUUGUCAAAUUGAUUGUGCUCAGAAACAACUGAGACAGAGGAAAAAUAGAGUUUCUAAUUACAUUUUACCCGGGAUCUUGUUCGACUCUAGGAAGUGGUGAGUGAGAUCAUUUGCCCCUGGGGCUUUUCUUCCAUAUGCCUUCUUUUCCUCCAGCUAAAUGUGCAGCAAAUUGAAAAGCUUUCCGUACAAACAGGGAAUCAAUUCCUCAACCUACACUCUGCUGGACGUGCUCCCGUUCCACUGCAGUCCCAAUGGUUAUUGGAGCAGUAAAUGAAAUAAUGGGAAAGUUAGCUUGAAUAUGUAAAAUGGCAGCAUUGUCUGUGAACUAUAUGAAAUCAGCGGUGAUUUCUGAAGCAUAAUUUAAUGGUGAGACAGGCAGAGCAAUUGAUUUGGGGAAAAAAAGUUUAGAAGAUGAAUGUAAAAU